RNAcentral lists this ribosomal RNA (501 nucleotides) under uncultured bacterium. RNAcentral describes it as "partial 16S ribosomal RNA". It matches the Rfam family "Bacterial small subunit ribosomal RNA", at positions 28 to 523 of the family's 1533-position model. The record is from RNAcentral.
GAUGAACGCUGGCGGCGUGCCUAACACAUGCAAGUCGAACGAAACACUUUUAGAAAAUUUUCGAAGUUUCCUAAAGGUGUUUAGUGGCAGACGGCUGAGUAAUACAUUGGUACCUACCCCAAAGUGGGGGAUAGCUCAUCGAAAGAUGGGGUAAUCCCGCAUGUGACCCUCGGGUUAAAGCUUUCGCGCUUUGGGAAGGGACUUUGUCCUAUCAGAUUGUUGGUGAGGUAAUGGCUCACCAAGUCUAUGACGGGUAGCUGGAUCGAGAGGUUGACCAGCCAGACUGGGACUGAGACACGGCCCAGACUCCUACGGGAGGCAGCAGUGGGGAAUUUUGGACAAUGGGCGCAAGCCUGAUCCAGCAAUGCCGCGUGCAGGAUGAAGGCCUUCGGGUUGUAAACUGCUUUUGUACGGAACGAAAAGCCCCGGGUUAAUACCCUGGGGUCAUGACGGUACCGUAAGAAUAAGCACCGGCUAACUACGUGCCAGCAGCCGCAGUAA